AACUAUUACAGUUUUCUUUUUGAAUUUAUCUGGCAGGUUCUCUGACUUCAGUUGGAAAACCCAA
Small nuclear RNA from Mastomys coucha (southern multimammate mouse), 64 nucleotides. RefSeq annotates it as U7 small nuclear RNA. The transcript has a single exon. The record is from RefSeq and is a predicted model, not a curated record. Lineage: Eukaryota; Metazoa; Chordata; Mammalia; Rodentia; Muridae.